Molecule: long non-coding RNA, 2709 nt
Filed under: Helianthus annuus (common sunflower)
Lineage: Eukaryota; Viridiplantae; Streptophyta; Magnoliopsida; Asterales; Asteraceae
Source: RNAcentral
UGAAUUGGAACCACAUGACUUAUGAAGUAUCUAUGUUUGAAUUUGAUUUGUAUUUAUUUGCUUUUUAUAUCUCUAAUUCUUUUUAAUCGGAACUCAGUUGAUUGCUUGUUUAUCCAAUUACUAUUCAACAUAUGUUAUAAUUUCAAUUUUUAUUUUGAUUAAGAAACUAAGGUUUUAUCAUAUAAAGAUUGUAAUACUGUUCUGUGCUGAAUCCAAUUUGUAAAACGACCCAAACCCAAUCUGCCCCGAAACCCGCAUACACUAUGUAUUGUAUAUGUUUCUGCUUGUAUACAUGUAUAUGAAGUGUUUGUGUGUCUAUACAUGUGCACGAAGAAGUGAAGAUGGAUCUACUGCUGCUACAAGCUUUUUUUUUCCUUUAAAAACUGUUGUUUAAACCGACCCAACCCGACCCGACCCGAAACCCGUUCAGACCCGAAACCCGUUCCAACCCGAACCCGUUCUGACCCGAACCUGUUUUGACCCUGACCCGUUUUGACCCGAACCAAAACAACCCUUUGUUUAAUUGACCCGUUUUGACCCGAACCCGGUUUGACCCGAACCCUUUUUGACCCAUGACCCGACCCGACCCAACCCGACCCGUUUGCCAGGUCUACUUAAUACACUCAGGCAAAUUUAUGCAAAACUUAAAAAAUUAAAACAGAAAUCAACGUCUUGCUUAUAUACAUUCAUACUCUUAUUGUAAAUUUGUAGUUGUAGAUCACUUAUAUGCAAAAGAUAAAAAUGGGUUGAAUGGGUUAUAUUUGUGUCAAGCAUGCACUCACUAAUGAAGAUCCUCAAUAUGUCCCAUAUAGUGUAGAUGAACCAUAUGGUCAAGUAUUAUGGAAUCCCGGGUUCGUAUAUUUUAAAAAAGAUUCAGUCUUUAUGCGUUUGAAAGAACAUUCAAAGACUAAACUCGUCGUAGGAGAUUGCAAUACGCUCUUUGUUAUGGUUUUAUAUUGUAUGUUUCUUAUAUAACUGAUCUUUUUUAUUCUAUUGCAGUUUAGAAGCACCACCAAGGCCAUAAUUUGUGUUGUUGAUUUGUGUGAUGUCUUGGUUUUUAUUCUAUUGCAGUUUAAAAGAUUCAGUCUUGCCUUGGCUUUGGGGACCUCAUCGCCUUGCGCCUUUUAAAACAUAGGAUGUGGAUGUCUUGGUCUUGAAAAGCGAGAGGCGCACAAAAGCGAUGAGGUCUAAAACCAAAGCGUGAGAUGCAAAAGCAGCAGGCUUUUAGUACCCGAGGCGCAAGCUAAUUAUAUAUAUUUUUAUAUAUCCCAUAGGUUUUUAGCUUUCCCUACCCAAAAUAUAGCUAUAAGUAAGGUUUUUGUAUAAUUUUAGCUGCAUGUACAAACCAAAAAACCCAAGGUACAACAGUUAGAUGCAUAAAAACGCCUCGGGUACGAGAUGCGCGCGCUUCAGGCCAAAAAAGCCAUAAAAAUUCCAAAAAAGCGCGCCUUUUUAGCGCUUCUUGUAAUUACUCUAGGCGCCGAGCGAAAAAGCCCCAGGGUGUGCCCCUUGUUGCGUCUCGCGCUUAAGCGUGCCUCAGGCGCACUUUUCAAAACCAAGGUGGAUGUGGCUAACCAAAUGUAGCAAUUUUCAUGGCAUGUAAAGAGCAAGUGUUGCAGCACUUUUCAAGAAGGGGUGGGUCAUUAGACUUCUCCUCACAAGCGCGGGAUCAGAAAUGGACCAAAGGCUCUAAAACCUAUUCCCGUCAUAAUACGUUGCAAGUUUUGUGGUCGAGUGAAACUACCUCAUUUUUUCUGCUGCAGUGGACUUAGGGACACAGACGCAACCAAUGGUUCAACCAGUUCACCACAGGUGACGAGAACCUCAUACAAGGUAAGAUAUGCUGACUGAUAAGAUGCAUAAAAACCAAAGCCAACACCUUUUGUAGCAAGACUUUUGUCUUUUAAUAUGAAUAAAAGCAUAGGCUGCUACAAGUCCUACUUUUUUCAGGUAAUUUUCUGUUAUAAAACUGCAACAUAAAGGCACAUGUUUUUAGUGAUAGGGAAACAUCAUCACUCUGGUUUGCUGAAUGGUAUCAUUAUCAUCGGAUGUGUAUGUAUCUUUUCAUUGGCAUAAGUAAAAUGUUCAAACCGAGAUUGAUUCGAUUUAGCGCGCGCCGCAACACGCGUGUCUGUAACUAUAAACCUAGUUUAAUUUAUUUCUCAUAUUUCAUUUUUUGUUAUUGAUUUAUGUUUUUUAUUUAUGGCAUCUGGUUGUAUGUUUGUAAUUACGCUGAACAUAUGUUCUUGUGAUCCCUAGCAUUCGCGCCGGAGGUGUUGGAGUGAAUCUUCAAGCUGCGGAUACAGUCAUCAUUUUUUACACAGAUUGCAAUCCACAGGCAAUACAUAUAUGGAGGAUUAUCUGUGUUUUGUUUUUGUAGGAUGAGCCCCUAUGUGUUGCUGCCAGACAAGAUGGGAAGGUAUUAGUCUCUGGUCUAUGGGUUGAUCACAGUUUUGAUGUCGGAGCGCACGUGGAUACAACCUCGGUAAUGUACGUACCGGUGAGAGAUUUGAAUGGGAUUCCAGGUGCAACGUCACUAGUUAUAUGUUUGACAGGAUAUCAACGUGAAGAUCGAGAGGACAUUAUGGUAAUGUCAAAAGAAGUUGAGUAUAGUUAGUUGGCUGAUGUAGCGACAAUAAGUAGUAAGUGCAGGGAAAUAUGAAGUGGAAGUAUGACUACUAAGAAAACGUUAACACGAUGAUUAUUUAA